UCUCCGUUGGUGAACCAGCGGAGGGAUCAUUGCAGAGCCCAGGCUCCAGACCGCGCGGACCAUGCAGUUCCUGCGCCCCGGCGGGGGGCCCCCGGGGGGGGGGGGCCGGGGGUACCCGCCGGCGGCAAGCACCUCCAUCUCGUACCCGUAAUCGCUCGUCUCGAAAAGAAGCACAACUUUCAACGAUGGAUCUCUUGGCUCCGGCAUCGAUGAAGAACGCAGC
Molecule: unclassified non-coding RNA, 223 nt
Filed under: uncultured fungus
Lineage: Eukaryota; Fungi
Description: sequence contains ITS1, 5.8S rRNA gene
Rfam family: 5.8S ribosomal RNA (bases 175-223)
Source: RNAcentral